CCUACGGGUGGCAGCAGUGGGGAAUAUUGCGCAAUGGGCGAAAGCCUGACCCAGCGACGCCGCGUGAGGGAUGACGGUCUUCGGAUCGUAAACCUCUGUCACCAGGGACGUACGGUCACGGUGCUGAUCAUCAGUGAAUUUACUGUACCUGCACGGGAAGCACCGGCUAACUCCGGGCCAGCAGCCGCGGUCAUACGGAGGGGGCGAGCGUUAAACGGAAUUACUGGAUGUAAAGCGAUCGUAGGCGGUAUGUCAAGUCAGUGGGUAAAUACCCGGGCUCAACGGUGGAACUGCCUUUGAAACUGGCAAACUUGAGUGUAGGUGAGGUAAGUGGAAUUCCAGGUGUAGCGGUGAAAUCCGUAGAUAUCAGGAAGAACA
RNAcentral lists this ribosomal RNA (378 nucleotides) under uncultured bacterium. RNAcentral describes it as "partial 16S ribosomal RNA". It matches the Rfam family "Bacterial small subunit ribosomal RNA", at positions 338 to 708 of the family's 1533-position model. The record is from RNAcentral.